Molecule: non-coding RNA, 25 nt
Filed under: Cricetulus griseus (Chinese hamster)
Lineage: Eukaryota; Metazoa; Chordata; Mammalia; Rodentia; Cricetidae
Source: RNAcentral
AUAGUGUUUGUUUUAAUUUGUGGAG